This 253-nucleotide ribosomal RNA is filed under the name uncultured bacterium. Its description in RNAcentral is "partial 16S ribosomal RNA". It matches the Rfam family "Bacterial small subunit ribosomal RNA", at positions 524 to 776 of the family's 1533-position model. The record is from RNAcentral.
GACGAGUCUCACAAACGUUAUUCGGAAUUACUGGGCUUAAAGGGUGCGUAGGCGGUGGAGUAAGUCGGAUGUGAAAUACCUUAGCUUAACUAGGGAACUGCACUCGAUACUACUUUGCUAGAGUAAGACAGAGGUGAGUGGAACUGAGGGUGGAGCGGUGAAAUGCGUUGAUAUCCUCAGGAACACCGGUGGCGAAGGCGGUUCUCUGGGAAUAUCCUGACGCUGAGGAGCGAAAGUGUGGGGAGCGAACAGG